RNAcentral lists this ribosomal RNA (497 nucleotides) under uncultured bacterium. Its description in RNAcentral is "partial 16S ribosomal RNA". It matches the Rfam family "Bacterial small subunit ribosomal RNA", at positions 28 to 507 of the family's 1533-position model. The record is from RNAcentral.
GAUGAACGCUGGCGGCGUGCCUAAUACAUGCAAGUCGAGCGAACGGACGAGAAGCUUGCUUUUCUGAUGUUAGCGGCGGACGGGUGAGUAACACGUGGAUAACCUACCUAUAAGACUGGGAUAACUUCGGGAAACCGGAGCUAAUACCGGAUAAUAUUUUGAACCGCAUGGUUCAAAAGUGAAAGACGGUCUUGCUGUCACUUAUAGAUGGAUCCGCGCUGCAUUAGCUAGUUGGUAAGGUAACGGCCUACCAAGGCAACGAUGCAUAGCCGACCUGAGAGGGUGAUCAGCCACACUGGAACUGAGACACGGUCCAGACUCCUACGGGAGGCAGCAGUAGGGAAUCUUCGACAAUGGGCGAAAGCCUGACGGAGCAAUGCCGCGUGAGUGAUGAAGGCCUUCGGAUCGUAAAACUCUGUUAUUAGGGAAGAACAUAUGUGUAAGUAACUGUGCACAUCUUGACGGUACCUAAUCAGAAAGCCACGGCUAACUACGUG